This 381-nucleotide long non-coding RNA is filed under the name Sitophilus oryzae (rice weevil). RNAcentral describes it as "uncharacterized LOC115889237". Lineage: Eukaryota; Metazoa; Arthropoda; Insecta; Coleoptera; Curculionidae. The record is from RNAcentral.
UUAUAAACAAACCAAAUUGAAGUACUAGAAACAAUAAGAGUAUCUGUUCCUGUGUAUGCCCAAGUUUCUGUUUUCCAAGAAGCAUAUUAAUUAAAUGAACAAAACUGUGUCCAAGAAAUACUCUAUUGCAUAGAGGAUUUAAUGAAAACAAAAUUGGUGAUGCUGUAAUCACAAAGUUCCAUGCAGGAAUCAAUGGUUAUUGCUAAAAUAUGUUAUUGGUGUAUUGUCAAUUUUAUUUACUUAUAUAUUACGUUAUUUAAUCUCAAUAAUUUUAGGCUGGAAAUAAUAUACACUUUGGAACAAUUGAAGUAAAUAAAUGAAUUAAUAUAAUACAUACAUCAAGAAGUAAUGUAUAAUUUCGGAAAAAGCUGUAUUAAUCAC